RNAcentral lists this transfer RNA (85 nucleotides) under Pedosphaera sp. Its description in RNAcentral is "tRNA-Leu". It matches the Rfam family "tRNA". From Rfam's summary of the family: Transfer RNA (tRNA) molecules are approximately 80 nucleotides in length. The record is from RNAcentral. RNAcentral also lists the same sequence under 5 other names. Lineage: Bacteria; Pseudomonadati; Verrucomicrobiota; Pedosphaerae; Pedosphaerales; Pedosphaeraceae.
GCCCACGUGGCGGAAUUGGCAGACGCGCUAGAUUCAGGUUCUAGUGGGUAACACCGUACAGGUUCAAGUCCUGUCGUGGGCACCA